UUAGGGGGAGACGGGCGGAGGGGAGGAAAGUCCGGGCUCCAUAGGGCAAGGUGCCAGGUAACGCCUGGGGGGUGUCACAGCCCACGACCAGUGCAACAGAGAGCAAACCGCCGAUGGCCCGCGCAAGCGGGAUCAGGUAAGGGUGAAAGGGUGCGGUAAGAGCGCACCGCGCGGCUGGUAACAGUCCGCGGCACGGUAAACUCCACCCGGAGCAAGGCCAAAUAGGGGUUCAUAAGGUACGGCCCGUACUGAACCCGGGUAGGCUGCUUGAGCCAGUGAGC
RNAcentral lists this ribozyme (281 nucleotides) under Percolomonas cosmopolitus. RNAcentral describes it as "partial Bacterial RNase P class A". It matches the Rfam family "Bacterial RNase P class A", at positions 1 to 293 of the family's 367-position model. From Rfam's summary of the family: Ribonuclease P (RNase P) is a ubiquitous endoribonuclease, found in archaea, bacteria and eukarya as well as chloroplasts and mitochondria. Its best characterised activity is the generation of mature 5'-ends of tRNAs by cleaving the 5'-leader elements of precursor-tRNAs. Cellular RNase Ps are ribonucleoproteins. Lineage: Eukaryota; Heterolobosea; Eutetramitea; Percolomonadida; Percolomonadidae. The record is from RNAcentral.